Non-coding RNA from Salmo salar (Atlantic salmon), 55 nucleotides. The record is from Rfam. NCBI's taxonomy places the organism in Eukaryota, Metazoa, Chordata, Actinopteri, Salmoniformes, Salmonidae.
ACUGUAGACUAAUGGUAAGUCGCUCUGGAUAAGAGCGUCUGCUAAAUGACACAAA